RNAcentral lists this ribosomal RNA (301 nucleotides) under uncultured bacterium. Its description in RNAcentral is "partial 16S ribosomal RNA". It matches the Rfam family "Bacterial small subunit ribosomal RNA", at positions 509 to 808 of the family's 1533-position model. The record is from RNAcentral.
CAGCCGCCGCGGGAAUACGAAGGGGGCUAGCGUUGCUCGGAAUUACUGGGCGUAAAGCGUGCGUAGGCGGUUUGUUAAGUCUGCUGUGAAAUCCCCGGGCUCAACCUGGGAAUGGCAGUGGAUACUGGCAAGCUAGAGUGUGUCAGAGGAUGGUGGAAUUCCCGGUGUAGCGGUGAAAUGCGUAGAGAUCGGGAGGAACAUCAGUGGCGAAGGCGGCCAUCUGGACAACACCGACGCUGAGGCACGAAAGCGUGGGGAGCAAACAGGAUUAGAUACCCCUGUAGUCCCUGUCUCUUAUACA